CGGGCAGUAGAGUAUGGGCUGUGCUCCUUGCGGGAUUGCUAACUUAUGUUGAGGGACUUCUUGGGAGGCUCUGCUCUCAGCUUUGUCUACAUGAGCUCAUGUUAUCUUCACCACCAUCCCAUGAGCACCUUCCAGGCUAUGAGGAUAAUCAAAAAGAAGUGAUGGUGUGUUGCUUGAGUCUAAACAGUUUUAUGCACAUUUCAUAGAAAGGAGCCACCGAUGCCCACGCCACUGUUUCCAGAAGUCUCUCCCCCCAGCUUCUCUCAGAAUGCAGCCACGAAGACUCAGGAACCAGCAGCACUGGGGCUCCCCGUCUGCCCCAUGUGCCUCUGCAUCUGCCCAGAUCUGCCCCAAAACUGCUCCAAAGAGGUCCCUGCCCUUCAGAACCUUCUGCUGGGAACUCCUUCUCUCCCCACGUUUCCCAGCUCUGCCGUGGGGUAGGCAGGACUCUGUCGUUUGAAUUCCUUCUGUCAUAUGCAUAUUAUCCAACCUUAGAAAACACACAAGUCUGGCUGCCUAAGCUUCAGCUUUGACUGUCACUCUGUGUUUUUGACUGCAGUUAAUGAACCCUAACUGCCCCCAAAUACUCUGGCUUUCAGACUAUCGGAGCCAGCAUUCCCAACUGGAUAUCGAUUUACCAUUGCAUUUAUAUGAAAGAACAAGAAAGAGCUUUGUGUGUGUGUUUUAGCUACUUAAUCCUCAUUCCUUUUGGCUGAGAGCUUCUCCUUGGAC
This is a long non-coding RNA of Bos taurus (domestic cattle), 732 nucleotides long. Lineage: Eukaryota; Metazoa; Chordata; Mammalia; Artiodactyla; Bovidae. The record is from Ensembl.